RNAcentral lists this ribosomal RNA (619 nucleotides) under uncultured bacterium. RNAcentral's name for it is "bacterial SSU rRNA". It matches the Rfam family "Bacterial small subunit ribosomal RNA", at positions 1 to 597 of the family's 1533-position model. The record is from RNAcentral.
AAUUCGAUUGAGUUUGAUCAUGGCUCAGAACGAACGCUGGCGGCGUGGAUAAGACAUGCAAGUCGAACGGGACUUUUCCGAGUAGCAAUACCUGGAGAAGUUUAGUGGCGAACGGGUGCGUAACACGUGGGCAAUCUGCCGAGAAGUGGGGGAUAGCUCGCCGAAAGGCGAAUUAAUACCGCAUGUGAUCAGGGAAGACAUCUUUCCGACAUCAAAGUUGGCGCAAGCUAACGCUUCUUGAUGAGCCCGCGGCCUAUCAGCUAGUUGGCGAGGUAAUGGCUCACCAAGGCAUUGACGGGUAGCUGGUCUGAGAGGACGACCAGUCACACUGGAACUGAGACACGGUCCAGACACCUACGGGUGGCAGCAGUCGAGAAUUUUUCUCAAUGGGGGCAACCCUGAAGGAGCGACGCCGCGUGGAGGAUGAAGGCUCUCGGGUUGUAAACUCCUGUCAUUUGAGAACAAGGUGCACAUGUUAACUGUAUGUGCAUUGAUAGUAUCAGAAGAGGAAGGGACGGCUAACUCUGUGCCAGCAGCCGCGNUAAUACAGAGGUCCCAAGCGUUGUUCGGAUUCAUUGGGCGUAAAGGGUGCGUAGGUGGCGCGCUAAGUCAGGUGUGA